GAUGAAGAACGUAGCGAAAUGCGAUAAGUAAUGUGAAUUGCAGAAUUCAGUGAAUCAUCGAAUCUUUGAACGCACAUUGCGCCCUCUGGUAUUCCGGGGGGCAUGCCUGUUCGAGCGUCAUUAUAACCACUCAAGCUCUCGCUUGGUAUUGGAGUUCGCGAUCUCGCGGCUCCUAGAAUCAGUGGCGGUGCCUGUCGGCUCUACGCGUAGUAAUACUCCUCGCGAUUGAGUCCGGUAGGUUUACUUGCCAGCAACCCCCAAUUUUUACAGGUUGACCUCGGAUCAGGUAGGGAUACCCGCUGAACUUAAGCAUAUCAAUAAGCGGAGGA
This 329-nucleotide unclassified non-coding RNA is filed under the name soil metagenome. Its description in RNAcentral is "partial contains 5.8S ribosomal RNA, internal transcribed spacer 2, and large subunit ribosomal RNA". The stretch from base 1 to 120 matches the Rfam family "5.8S ribosomal RNA", at positions 35 to 154 of the family's 154-position model. The record is from RNAcentral.